UGACGGAAUAGACUUUAUGGUGUCAGUGA
This 29-nucleotide non-coding RNA is filed under the name Mus musculus (house mouse). Lineage: Eukaryota; Metazoa; Chordata; Mammalia; Rodentia; Muridae. The record is from RNAcentral.